This is a long non-coding RNA of Ailuropoda melanoleuca (giant panda), 1852 nucleotides long. RefSeq lists it as uncharacterized. Lineage: Eukaryota; Metazoa; Chordata; Mammalia; Carnivora; Ursidae. The record is from RefSeq and is a predicted model, not a curated record. The transcript is spliced from 3 exons.
GCGGCCUCUUGAGAAUUCAGCGUGGUCUGCGUUACCUCGGUCACUCCUGCCGCGUCUGUGUCCUCAUCCGGAAAGCGGGGACAGUGUCUGCAGAUACGGAGUAUAUAACCGUGCGCCUGAGAGCCCGUCGCCUGGGUCACCAAUUUCAACCAACCCACGGUCCUGGAGGAUCGGUCUCUGGCCUCGUUCGGAUCCAACCCUUGCUGAAUCUUUGUCUCCGGGAAUGUCCAUCUUUGACUUCUGGCCCAUUCUGGUGUUCCUGGUCUCCGGACCUGAAAUGCAAAAACGAAUGAGGUGGCACACCAGCACUGGGAAGAGAACGCCCUUCCUUUUCCUUUCCCUACGGCCUUGCACUGUCCCUCCGCCGUUCACGGACAAAAUCGAAACCUCGUGCCAGCUGGCGAGGGAGAAACGGCGCAGAUCCAGUAACACAAGCAGGACAGAGGAGGGCGGAGGAGGAGGUGAGAGCCAGUCCUUCCAGAACACCAGGGCGGGGGCCGCGGGGCAAACCCAGAACUGUGCACCCCCCCCCAUGAGGCAGGACGCCCUUCAGCACAGACCGGAAGCACCUGGCCACAGGCGUCAGAGCCGCUGGGAACCCUUGAUCUUCUGAUCCCACGGAUCCUUUAAAGACUCUCCUUUUUUGUUUCACCCCAAACCCAGAGAGCUGAGAGUGUGCGGACGCCCCGCCCCCGAUGGGAUCACCCCUGCCUCCUCCAGCGUCUCCUUCCCACAGAGCUUCCUCGGAGCACAGGCCCGGCGCCUAGCAUCCUCCCUGACUCGCUCAUGGCCACACCCCGCAGCAUCCUGAAUUCCCAAAAAAGCAGCUUCCGCUCAGGAACCACCCCCGAGAGAGCGGCAGACACUCUAUACCUUCCCUCCUCUCCUUAGAGCUCCGCUACGUCACGCGUCACCCUGGCUCUCAGCAGCCAGUCCUGUCCUUGUUGUAGAAAGGUGUGAGACCCCGGGCUGAAACCCCGCACCACCCUGUCUGAGGGACUCCUCACCUUCGCUGUAUUUCUUCUCUCCCGCUCCCCAGGACUGAUCUGCCCUCUGAGCCCUGCUGUGGGACACGCACUGCACUAGGUGGGAAAUAAUGAGGAAUGCAGGAUGACACCGAGGACAGAGUCCCUCUCCUUGAGGAGCCCGUGCUGGGCUGGGGGCUCAGGAAGGGUAUGCAUGGGGUGUCCUGGGACCCCGCAGGAAGAGCACAUCCUUGAGGGGGGACAAGCAAGGACACUUCCGGAGGGACAGAGCUUCUAAGCUGACGCCUCAGAGAUCACAUGAGAUAACCAGACUUUCUAUGAGGCUCCCACACGUGCACGGGCGGGAGGUGAGAGGAGGAGCCACGGACGUCCGUGCGCGCACCAUGCAGUGGAGCCCAGGGUGCGGGAUGGCAGAAGGCAGAGCUGGGAAGUGCUGGUCACCUUGUGGAGGACCAAGAAGUUUGGGCUUUGUCCUGAAGGCCACAGGGAGCUUCUGAAGGGUCAACGCAGAAGAAUGGCAUAAGCAGAUUUACGGUUUUAGAAGACUGUUCUGAUCGUUUUCUGGAGGAUGGAGGGUCAAGGCUGCGAGUGGGGACAUCAGGCAGACAGCCACAGCAGUGACCUGCCUUGGAGCCAGUGAAGGCCUCAGUGAGCUCGGGACGGAGGGCAUGGGGGCACUGAGUCCAAACGUCAGAGAAGCAAGACCUGGUGCUGUCCUAGAUGGAGGGGCUGAGCGGAGAGGGCAGGCAUUAAGGAUGGCAUCCAUGUGUCUAACCUGGGCAACCGCCUGAACUGGGUAGCUGGAGGCAAAGAUGGGGCGGGGGGAGGCAGUGGCGGAAGUAAUUUCAGACAUGUUGGAGAUACCU